GCCCAGAUGGCGGAAUUGGUAGACGCACCGUCUUCAGGUGGCGGCGCUGGAAACGGCGUGGAGGUUCGAGUCCUCUUCUGGGCACCA
Molecule: transfer RNA, 87 nt
Filed under: Sphingomonas sp.
Lineage: Bacteria; Pseudomonadati; Pseudomonadota; Alphaproteobacteria; Sphingomonadales; Sphingomonadaceae
Also listed under: 24 other names
Description: tRNA-Leu
Rfam family: tRNA
About the family: Transfer RNA (tRNA) molecules are approximately 80 nucleotides in length. Their secondary structure includes four short double-helical elements and three loops (D, anti-codon, and T loops).
Source: RNAcentral